GCGUGACAUUAGUUAGUUGGUGAGGUAACGGCUCACCAAAACGAUGAUGUCUAGGGGUUCUGAGAGGAUUAUCCCCCACACUGGUGCUGAGACACGGACCAGACUCCUACGGGAGGCAGCAGUGAGGAAUAUUGGUCAAUGGACGCAAGUCUGAACCAGCCAUGCCGCGUGCAGGAUGACGGCCCUAUGGGUUGUAAACUGCUUUUCCACGGGAAGAACCCUCCGACGUGUCGGAGACUGACGGUACCGUGGGAAUAAGCAUCGGCUAACUCCGUGCCAGCAGCCGCGGUAAUACGGAGGAUGCAAGCGUUAUCCGGAUUUAUUGGGUUUAAAGGGUGCGUAGGUGGGCUUAUAAGUCAGCGGUGAAAUCCCCCGGCUCAACCAGGGAAUUGCCGUUGAUACUGUUAGCCUUGAGUACAGUUGAAGUGGGCGGAAUGUAGCAUGUAGCGGUGAAAUGCAUAGAUAUGCUACAGAACACCAAUAGCGAAGGCAGCUCACUAAGUUGUAACUGACACUAAUGCACGAAAGCGUGGGGAUCAAACAGGAUUAGAUACCCUGGUAGUCCACGCUGUAAACGAUGAUCACUCGUUGUUGGCGAUAUACAGUCAGCGACUGAACGAAAGUAUUAAG
This 630-nucleotide ribosomal RNA is filed under the name uncultured bacterium. Its description in RNAcentral is "bacterial SSU rRNA". It matches the Rfam family "Bacterial small subunit ribosomal RNA", at positions 233 to 864 of the family's 1533-position model. The record is from RNAcentral.